This 530-nucleotide ribosomal RNA is filed under the name uncultured bacterium. RNAcentral describes it as "bacterial SSU rRNA". It matches the Rfam family "Bacterial small subunit ribosomal RNA", at positions 8 to 526 of the family's 1533-position model. The record is from RNAcentral.
AGAGUUUGAUCAUGGCUCAGAUUGAACGCUGGCGGCAGGCCUAACACAUGCAAGUCGAGCGGCAGCGGGAAAGUAGCUUGCUACUUUUGCCGGCGAGCGGCGGACGGGUGAGUAAUGUAUGGGGAUCUGCCCGAUAGAGGGGGAUAACUACUGGAAACGGUAGCUAAUACCGCAUAAUCUCUCAGGAGCAAAGCAGGGGAACUUCGGUCCUUGCGCUAUCGGAUGAACCCAUAUGGGAUUAGCUAGUUGGUGAGGUAAUGGCUCACCAAGGCGACGAUCCCUAGCUGGUCUGAGAGGAUGACCAGCCACACUGGAACUGAGACACGGUCCAGACUCCUACGGGAGGCAGCAGUGGGGAAUAUUGCACAAUGGGCGCAAGCCUGAUGCAGCCAUGCCGCGUGUAUGAAGAAGGCCUUCGGGUUGUAAAGUACUUUCAGCGGGGAGGAAGGUGUUGUGGUUAAUAACCACAGCAAUUGACGUUACCCGCAGAAGAAGCACCGGCUACUCCGUGCCAGCAGCCGCGGUAAUUC